RNA transcript from Musa acuminata AAA Group (dessert banana), 1589 nucleotides. It is a transcript of the gene named zinc finger AN1 domain-containing stress-associated protein 15-like, with no coding region annotated. The record is from RefSeq and is a predicted model, not a curated record. The transcript has 3 exons. NCBI's taxonomy places the organism in Eukaryota, Viridiplantae, Streptophyta, Magnoliopsida, Zingiberales, Musaceae.
CACGCAGCUCCCCUCCCCCCCCCCCCCAUCGAAUCCCGACGGCUUCGGCCUCGAUCUUUAGAUCGAGCUCGAUCCAUUUCGAGGAGAUUCCCGUCGUCGCCUCGCUCCCCAGACCUUAAUUCCAUCUGAAAGUUCCCAAUCGGUGAGCUUGAUUCCAGGGUUUCCGUUGUCUUCUUUAAGAUUUCGUUCAUCCUAUCUCGAUUCGAUCUCUGAUCUUGGUAAAGGUACCACCCUCUCGUUCUCUGGCUAUGAUCGUCUGCCAGUUCUAAUAUUUGCCCAAAUCCGUGGAGAAAAGUGUCAGCUUUAUCGAAUGUUUGUUCUCACCAUCCACGCCGCUCGUCUCUGAUUCCUUAAGGACGGUGCCUUUCUUGUUUUCCCUUGAGAUUUAAGCCUUUUUCACUUGGAUUUGUCACUUGCGGCGAUCUCUUUUUCUCUCGAUUUAUUCCCUUUUAUUAGCAUUUCUGGCUAUUGCUUUUGUAUUCUUCUUGAAUUUGGAUAGAUGGCAGGGGAAAGCUGCAACCUUGACAAAGAUGAAGCUGAGAUCCUCAAACCCUCGUCCUCCUCGUCUUCUUCUUCUUCUUCUUCUUCUUCCUCUUCUCCGUCUCCCUCUCCUCCGCCCGCACCACCGUCCCCACCUUCUCUUUGCCUGAAGCCUCCCCAGGAGCUCCCAGUUCCCGAGAUGCCUGAGAAUUCAGGAAAUCCAGCGGCGGCCGAUUCCGGCGCCGCUCUCUCUUUCGAGAUGAAGAUUAGCAAGCAGGCCCCUCCCCUUCGCUACAUCAACCGGUGCUCGACUUGCCGGAAAAGGGUGGGGCUCACCGGCUUCCGGUGCCGGUGCGGGGAUCUCUUCUGCGCUAGCCACCGGUACUCCGACACCCACGACUGCUCCUUUGAUUACAAAGCUGCUGGAAGAGAGCAGAUUGCGAAGGCCAACCCCCUCAUAAGAGCUGCUAAGAUCAUUAAGAUUUGAGAUGCAGAAAAAGCUUCUAUUUCACAGUUCACCCCACCUUUUGCUUCUUUACAUUGGACUUUGUGAUGAUAAAUUUUGGAAGAUCAUAAGACUUUUGCUAUAUCGGCUAACAGCAGAAGCAAUCAGCAGAACCAAUUCUUUUUCGAAAGCAAGCUUAUCAAAGGAUAUUUGACAGUUGAAUCCUCUUAUUGGGAUUCUCUUCAUGUUAGCCAUAUCUAUGUUGCCAUGGGCUACUCUACAAGAGAACAAGAUCCAUGUGAACCAUUUGUCAUUACAUGUGUUUCAGCAGAACCAAUUCUUUUUCAAAAGCAAGCUUAUGAAAGCAUAUUGGACAGUUUGAUCCCCUUCAUGUUAGCCAUAUCUAUGUUGCCAUGGGCUACUCUACAAGAGAACAAGAACCAUGUGAACUACUUGUCAUCACAUGUGCUUCAGAACUUCUCCCUAGUAAUGCAUAAGAUGCUAAACUUUGUUUGCAGUGACUUUUCCCUUGUAAAGGCUGUUGAGGCAGCUUACUUUUGGAUGAUGUUAGGUGCUCACUUUUACCUUUGUUGGAUGCUUUGCAGUUACCCAAUCAUACAACAUUCUCUUUUCUAAAGGAAAAGAUGGAAGUGUAUUCAUUUUU